Molecule: ribosomal RNA, 440 nt
Filed under: uncultured bacterium
Lineage: Bacteria
Description: partial 16S ribosomal RNA
Rfam family: Bacterial small subunit ribosomal RNA
Source: RNAcentral
CCUACGGGAGGCAGCAGUGGGGAAUAUUGCACAAUGGGGGAUACCCUGAUGCAGCGACGCCGCGUGAGUGAAGAAGUAUUUCGGUAUGUUAAGCUCUAUCUGCAGGGAAGUAAAUGACGGUACCUGAUUAAGAAGCCCCGGCUCACUACGUGCCAGCAGCCGCGGUUAUACGUAGGGGGCAAGCGUUAUCCGGAUUUACUGGGUGUUAAGAGAGAGUAGACGGCAGCACAAGUCUGGAGUGAAAUGCCGGGGGUUAACCCCGGCACUGCUGUUGAAACUGUGCAGCUAGAGUGCAGGAGAGGUAAGUGGAAUGCGUAGUGUAGCGGUGAAAUGCAUAGAUAUGAGGAGGAACACCAGUUGCGAAGGCAGCUUACUGGACUGUAACUGACGUUGAGGCUCGAAAGCGUGGGGAGCGAACAGGAUUAGAUACCCGUGUAGUC